Molecule: ribosomal RNA, 253 nt
Filed under: uncultured bacterium
Lineage: Bacteria
Description: partial 16S ribosomal RNA
Rfam family: Bacterial small subunit ribosomal RNA
Source: RNAcentral
UACGGAGGGGGCGAGCGUUAUUCGGAAUUAUUGGGCGUAAAGGGCGCGUAGGCGGCUGUACAAGUCAAAGGUGAAAUCCCUCGGCUCAACUGAGGAACUGCCUUUGAAACUGUACGGCUUGAGGCCGGGAGGGGGUAGCGGAAUUCCUAGUGCAGAGGUGAAAUUCGUAGAUAUUAGGAAGAACACCGGUGGCGAAGGCGGCCCACUGGAUCGGUACUGACGCUGAGGUGCGAAAGCGUGGGGAGCAAACAGG